AAAAUAUCUAUCCUCCCUCUAAGCCUAGGUAGAAAACUAAGUUAUAAGACAAGGAUGAACACGAUAUAUGGUACUUUUUAAAAUCUGGUUCCCAAAGAAAUAAAACAUUUUAAAAAGAAUUUUAAAAUAAUGUAUUUAGCUUAUGCUGAGUAUAUAUUAGUGAGCAACUAAUUUAAAAAUAUUUAAGGAAUAAUAGUCCCCUCUGUUAUAAUAAAUUACUAUUGACCUAAUUUAUUUAUUAAGCUUCUCUUCUUAUUUGGGUAAUUAAUUCUAAGAAUUAGAACUUGUUUACACUAGUAAAUAUACUUUUAUUAUUUUCUUACUUAAAUAAGUUUUAUCAAUUUUAAAUUAAAUAUAAACUAAAUAACUUGAGAUUCUCCAAACUGUUUAACAAAGACAUAGUAAGACUGUGUCUUAUGUAUCUGCCCAAUGAAUAAUUUUUUAUGGCUUUAAAGUAGCGCAAUAAUUAGUUUAUUAAUUGUAAACCUGUAUGAAGCUAGCAUUGGUUAAUCAUGUUUAUUCUUAUCUGUUGAAUCUUAGUUAUCAGUACAAACGCUGAUAUGCUCCCCGAAGACGAUAAGACCCUAAGACCUUCACCUUGUUUGGCUGGGAUAGCCUACUUAAUAUAAUAAAGAAACCUUAAUUAUUACGAACCAAUUAUUUUGCUAUACAUAGGUACCUUAGGGAUAACAGCGCGUAAUACUUUUAGAGCUCUUAUUUAAAAGAUAUUCGUGACCUCGAUGUUGAAUUAAGUAAUAUAGUGCUGCAGAAGGUGCUAUUUUAAGUCUGUUCGACU
Molecule: ribosomal RNA, 796 nt
Filed under: Lepeophtheirus salmonis (salmon louse)
Lineage: Eukaryota; Metazoa; Arthropoda; Copepoda; Siphonostomatoida; Caligidae
Description: partial 16S ribosomal RNA
Source: RNAcentral